AUUGAACGCUGGCGGCAGGCCUAACACAUGCAAGUCGAACGGUAACAGGAAGAAGCUUGCUUCUUUGCUGACGAGUGGCGGACGGGUGAGUAAUGUCUGGGAAACUGCCUGAUGGAGGCGGAUAACUACUGGAAACGGUAGCUAAUACCGCAUAACGUCGCAAGACCAAAGAGGGGGACCUUCGGGCCUCUUGCCAUCGGAUGUGCCCAGAUGGGAUUAGCUAGUAGGUGGGGUAACGGCUCACCUAGGCGACGAUCCCUAGCUGGUCUGAGAGGAUGACCAGCCACACUGGAACUGAGACACGGUCCAGACUCCUACGGGAGGCAGCAGUGGGGAAUAUUGCACAAUGGGCGCAAGCCUGAUGCAGCCAUGCCGCGUGUAUGAAGAAGGCCUUCGGGUUGUAAAGUACUUUCAGCGGGGAGGAAGGGAGUAAAGUUAAUACCUUUGCUCAUUGACGUUACCCGCAGAAGAAGCACCGGCUAACUCCGUG
RNAcentral lists this ribosomal RNA (490 nucleotides) under uncultured bacterium. Its description in RNAcentral is "partial 16S ribosomal RNA". It matches the Rfam family "Bacterial small subunit ribosomal RNA", at positions 30 to 507 of the family's 1533-position model. The record is from RNAcentral.